This 682-nucleotide long non-coding RNA is filed under the name Nicotiana benthamiana. Its description in RNAcentral is "long non-coding RNA (NBEN_LNC005317)". The record is from RNAcentral. Lineage: Eukaryota; Viridiplantae; Streptophyta; Magnoliopsida; Solanales; Solanaceae.
CCUAUACUGCCUCCUCACAUUGGGGUUGUGAGGUAGCAAGUCUUUAUCUAUAAAACUCUUUUCUGGGAUAAAAUUCUUCACCGGCCACCAUUCCCAGAAUUUAUGAUAUGCUAUCUCACUGACGAACCGGUCUUGCUAUAUCUCAAGUUUACUCGUUCUAGCAAUACCCCCACCUGAGGUUCACCUCCUUCUCCAACUACUUCUUCUCCUCCUACUUCCUCCUCAUUACCUACUAUAUCCUAUCUCCAGUUAACGAAUUGUAGGAGAGGUAGAGUAUUCCCCACUACCAGUAGCUGAGCCUUCAGACGACUAAGAAGAAACAUUUACUUACGUUUGGUUAGUGGGUGAUGCUGGAGGUGUGUCUCUUAGCCUAUUCCUCUCCGGCCAGUUAUGGAUAAACUCUGGCACGGAAUCUGAGGAGAUCUCCCGAGAGAGCUCGUACUCACUCCCCGACAUGUCAAUAGCUCUAUCAAUUACCUUCAUCAUCUUUCUUGUCCUUUUAAUAUUUUCCCAGAGUUGAGGAGUGAGUUUCAUCAUUUUCUGUUUCCCUCCACGGGAGGAUUUCCUCUGCCUAGUUGUUUAGAGCCUUUACCUAGUUGUCUCACCAUUGUUUGCAAACACAAUCCAAAUAAAUCUGUUAGUAUCAGUUGCAGUAGUGAAGAAGCAGAAUUGCAGAAACAAA